This 274-nucleotide ribosomal RNA is filed under the name uncultured bacterium. Its description in RNAcentral is "partial 16S ribosomal RNA". It matches the Rfam family "Bacterial small subunit ribosomal RNA", at positions 523 to 796 of the family's 1533-position model. The record is from RNAcentral.
AUACGGAGGGUGCAAGCGUUAUUCGGAAUCACUGGGCGUAAAGGACGCGUAGGCGGCUAUUUAAGUUGGAUGUGAAAGCCUAUGGCUCAACCAUAGAACUGCAUCCAAAACUAUUUGGCUAGAGUGUGGGAGAGGAAGAUGGAAUUAGUUGUGUAGGGGUAAAAUCCGUAGAGAUAACUAGGAAUACCAAAAGCGAAGGCAAUCUUCUGGAACAUUACUGACGCUGAGGCGCGAAAGCGUGGGGAGCAAACAGGAUUAGAUACCCUAGUAGUCC